UAAGGAAUAUUGGUCAAUGGAGGCAACUCUGAACCAGCCAUGCCGCGUGCAGGAAGACGGCCCUACGGGUUGUAAACUGCUUUUGUACCGGAAUAAACCUUGAUACGUGUAUCUAGCUGAAUGUACGGUAAGAAUAAGGAUCGGCUAACUCCGUGCCAGCAGCCGCGGUAAUACGGAGGAUCCAAGCGUUAUCCGGAUUUAUUGGGUUUAAAGGGUGCGUAGGCGGCUUAUUAAGUCAGGGGUGAAAGGCGGUAGCUUAACUAUCGGAGUGCCCUUGAUACUGAUGAGCUUGAAUGCAGCUGAGGUAGGCGGAAUGUGACAAGUAGCGGUGAAAUGCAUAGAUAUGUCACAGAACACCGAUUGCGAAGGCAGCUUACUAAAGUGCGAUUGACGCUGAGGCACGAAAGCGUGGGGAUCAAACAGGAUUAGAUACCCCUGUAGUCC
Molecule: ribosomal RNA, 444 nt
Filed under: uncultured bacterium
Lineage: Bacteria
Description: bacterial SSU rRNA
Rfam family: Bacterial small subunit ribosomal RNA
Source: RNAcentral